This 71-nucleotide transfer RNA is filed under the name Deltaproteobacteria bacterium. RNAcentral describes it as "tRNA-Ser". It matches the Rfam family "tRNA". From Rfam's summary of the family: Transfer RNA (tRNA) molecules are approximately 80 nucleotides in length. Their secondary structure includes four short double-helical elements and three loops (D, anti-codon, and T loops). The record is from RNAcentral. Lineage: Bacteria; Pseudomonadati; Myxococcota; Myxococcia.
GGAGAGAUGUCCGAGCGGCUGAAGGAGCACGACUGGAAAUCGUGUGUNNUCAAAUCCCUCUCUCUCCGCCA